GUGGGUGGAGAAUCCGAGCUACCGAUGAUCGUCCAGCAGGGGAGAUGGAGUUUGAGUGGCUCGUCACCUUUAGGCUGAUCAGCGGAGACGUUUCGAGGUUUGCGGGAGCGUAGGCGCACGAGCUACGUGUGGCGUGUGAAACGAGCUGCGGUAGCACUUGGUUGUGAUGGUCCAGGACAUUUUGUGUGCGUCGCGGUGGGGAUCGCUAGGCUGUCGUGCGCAUGUUUUACACCUGGACUGCAAUUGCGAUCGCAGGCGGGACUUGUGGUGGACGGGGACAGUGGUUGAUUUAGGGUUGGACGUAUGUGAUGAUGUGCGCUGGUGAUUUGACGCGGCGGACUCGCAGCGCAGUGAGUGGUGUGGAUGGGUUGGAGGGGAUCGGGUGCGUGAUGUCUGGUCGUGGUUUGGAACGCGUGACGAGUGGUCCGUUGUGUGUGUGUGUGUGUGUGCGUGCGGUCGCGCGCGAGUGUUGGAGCGGGUUCUAACCUGGGUGGUUGGUUGGAGUGAAGGAAUGCAGAAACGUGUGAGAAGGAAGUGAUGCGGAGGGCUUCGUAGCGAUCGCAAUGCGUUGGAG
Molecule: long non-coding RNA, 574 nt
Filed under: Physcomitrium patens
Lineage: Eukaryota; Viridiplantae; Streptophyta; Bryopsida; Funariales; Funariaceae
Description: long non-coding RNA (PPAT_LNC014144)
Source: RNAcentral